Molecule: long non-coding RNA, 960 nt
Organism: Formica exsecta
Lineage: Eukaryota; Metazoa; Arthropoda; Insecta; Hymenoptera; Formicidae
Exons: 2
Source: RefSeq, a predicted model, not a curated record
UCUUUACUAUUAAAUAUAUUGCAAGAACUUUGCCAUUUUUAAUAUUAUUAUAUAAUAAUUAAUUGUUGCAGCUAUUGUUAAAAGAUUUUAUUAAAGUGAAAUCCGCGUGAAAUUAAAUUCAGAAUCGGAUAGUGCGAAUUAGUUUCCGCAUUUUCUCUUGUAGAGAUUUAGUCUUUUUAAAUUUAAUGAAUGUUUAUGAAAAGACGGUCCCCUACGAAAAGUGGAUGAUAAUCCUGGAUAUCAGUAACUGUACUUGUCGGAGAAACGCAGUCAACUGCCUCCGUGGCGCAAUCGGCUAGCGCGUUCGGCUGUUAACCGAAAGGUUGGUGGUUCGAGCCCACCCGGGGGCGUUAUCUUUUUGCAAUUACUGUACAUUGACGUGAUAAUCACGUUUGUUUCUUUAUGUUAACUCUAUAAAAGUCUCGAUGUGUAUAUCUGAAUACUAAUGCAAACCAAUUUUAUGAUCUAUAAAUUCGAACACAUAAAUAUUAAAUUAAAAGACACAUAGUUGAUUAUAUAUUUUAAAACAAAUGCAAUAAAAAACAAUUACUGCUAAAUUAAUUAAUUAUUAAUAUAAUUUCUAGUAGAACGAAAAAAAAAAUAGCUUAUGACCCCGACGUGAUUUGAACACGCAACCUUCUGAUCUGGAGUCAGACGCGCUACCGUUGCGCCACGGAGUCUUAUGAUGUUGUGCGCUUCUAAUACGAUGAUACUCUAGUCGCAUACUUAUAGUGAGAUAUGAAAAUGUCGAGUUGCGGACAUAUAGUAGAAUAUAUGACUUAUACUUAAAAAUCUAACUCAUACCUCAUUUAUUUCAGGUGCUGAAAAAAAAAAGACAGUUUGCAUAAAUGUAACGAAACAAUAUAGAAAAAUGUACUCAAUAUUUAAAAUUAUUAAUCAUUAUUUUUUAAACAAUUCGCAUUAUAUUUCCAUAAUAAAAUUUUCUUACCCAUAUAAAAA